UGCAAGUCGAGCGGCAGCGACUUAACUGAACCUUCGGGGAACGUUAAGGGCGGCGAGCGGCGGACGGGUGAGUAAUGCCUGGGAAUAUGCCCUGAUGUGGGGGAUAACUAUUGGAAACGAUAGCUAAUACCGCAUAAUCUCUUCGGAGCAAAGAGGGGGACCUUCGGGCCUCUCGCGUCAGGAUUAGCCCAGGUGGGAUUAGCUUGUUGGUGAGGUAAUGGCUCACCAAGGCAACGAUCCCUAGCUGGUCUGAGAGGAUGAUCAGCCACACUGGAACUGAGACACGGUCCAGACUCCUACGGGAGGCAGCAGUGGGGAAUAUUGCACAAUGGGGGAAACCCUGAUGCAGCCAUGCCGCGUGUGUGAAGAAGGCCUUCGGGUUGUAAAGCACUUUCAGUAGGGAGGAAGGUAGUGUAGUUAACACCUGCAUUAUUUGACGUUACCUACAGAAGAAGCACCGGCUAACUCCGUGCCAGCAGCCGCGGUAAUACGGAGGGUGCGAGCGUUAAUCGGAAUUACUGGGCGUAAAGCGCAUGCAGGCGGCCUGUUAAGUCAGAUGUGAAAGCCCGGGGCUUAACCUCGGAAUUGCAUUUGAAACUGGCAGGCUAGAGUCUUGUAGAGGGGGGUGGAAUUUCAGGUGUAGCGGUGAAAUGCGUAAGAUCUGAAGAAUACCAGUGGCGAAGGCGGCCCCCUGGACAAGACUGACGCUCAGAUGCGAAAGCGUGGGGAGCAAACAGGAUUAGAUACCCUGUAGUCCACGCCGUAAACGAUGUCUACUUGGAGGCUGUGGCCUUGA
Molecule: ribosomal RNA, 796 nt
Filed under: uncultured Photobacterium sp.
Lineage: Bacteria; Pseudomonadati; Pseudomonadota; Gammaproteobacteria; Vibrionales; Vibrionaceae
Description: bacterial SSU rRNA
Rfam family: Bacterial small subunit ribosomal RNA
Source: RNAcentral